UCUUCCGCCUUUUCCGUUCAUCCUUCCUCUCCCGCUCACAUCCCUUCCUCAUCAUUCCUUUUCCCGUUCUCUUUUCGACGAUCGACUUUUCGCGCUUCCAUUCGCUCGCUCACGUUAACUGAUAACGAAACGAUGUUUUUGAAAGAUUCAUACUCCGUUUCUGAUUCGCUAGUGCAACGUUUUAAUUGAUAAGGACGUUUGGUUAGCUCGGUUGCUUCUUUCACUAGCAGGAAUCUCUGCUGGAACACCUGACGCGUUUCCGCGUUCUUUCUCUUUCUCUCUAUAUUGAAUUAAGAGCGGUCUCAAUGUCGCGACAUACCCUUUUGCACUUGGAGAUUCACUCGAAUGGGUUUAGAGAAGUAAUUGGUUAAUUCAAUAAACGUCUCCCUUUUGCAGGUAGCUUGUGUAUUUCAACGGAGAAUGCGUUUGAGAUACUACCGAAUGUUUUGAGAUACAAUCAAGUAGAUACGAAUCUUGUAUCUCCCAUUUGGAUGCACGUUUCCUAUUUACACGCAAGUAAAUGCCUGUGAAAAAUGAAGUCCAUGCGGAGUGGACGUGUGUUGUGGAUUAAAUGAAUGAUCGUUACUACGUGAAUGCCAUGUCGAUACGAUAACGAUUCAUUGAAAACAUCGACAUCAAAUCUAUUCGUUUUUAUCAAGCUACAUGUAUUUACUCCCUUUAAUGUUGUAGGGAUUACAUGGGAAAAGAAAAAAAAAAAAAAACUGUAAAGUCGGAUUACCGUGAGCGAUAGGCAAGUGCUUUUGAAUUAUCCGCGUACACCUCCCGCGCAUACACGUCUUAAGGAUGGGUGAAGCAGGGUGGAGAAAUUUUCAGUGGGAUUAACGGCUUUCAACAAGCUACGAGCGCUUUCCAUUUACUACGCCGAGACGACGAAUGACAACUAAUUUCGCCACACGCGCCUUCCAUUAGCCGAGUUGUGGCGAGAAAUCUUGACUACGUUUACCACAGUUGAGGGUUUAGAGUUGCUAUUCCUUUAGUGACUACAGCUUGUUACGAGUUAAGCUGUAAAGCGCCACCAAUUUUUAACGUCGACUGAUGGGAUAGCUUGAAAGGAUGAAGAACACUAUGGACACGCACGAGCUUAUGGCGCGUUCCUAUUGUCCUUUUACCACGUCGAUGAAUUAUCUAAAUUUAAACGACAACAAGAAAAACAGGAAACGUCUUAUUCCUUACGAUAAUCGUUUUAUUUUCCGAGAUAUUACGACAAACCAUAGUUCAACGACUGUCGAUUCAAUUCUCUUUCCUACUCGAUUAAGAUUUGUUCGUUAUCGUGUUAUAAUGUAAAGUAGUUUUCAAAAUAGCACAAAAAUAUUAUAGAACUUUUUAAUUCUUGUGAUACUGAUUAAUUUCAAGUGAUAAACGAGUCAAUUUGGUUUUCUUUUUUCACGUAAUCCAUUAGAGAUUCGUAUGUUUGUUCUCUAUGAUAAAAAAUCCGUAUUUGUUUAAGAUUAAAAUAAUCAACGUUUGCAGAUAUUCUAAUGAGUUUUAAUAAAACAAUUGAAUCCUUAGAAUAUCGAGUUCGUCGAAAAAGAUUCAGAAUUAGAAAAAGGAUUCUCGAUUUUAAGAUACAUAAGACUUGAUAAAACAAAUUUGCAGAAAAUUUAGAUAAAAUAUGAAAUAAGAAUAGAGUAAAUGAUCCUUUUUGAUUCAUAACUAUAGCAACCGUAAGAAUGAAAGCUCGUUAAACUAAUUAUACACUAAUUAUAGUAACUGUGACGUUGUUAAGUUCUCUUCUUGCUUUUUAUUCUUCCGUUACGUCUCAACCUACGUAUAAUUUCUUCGGUUCGUCAGGUUACAACAAAAGUAUUGAAGACGUCGUUAUCUCCUUCGAGGACAGACCAUAACGUUAUAUAUAUAUAUAUA
Long non-coding RNA from Vespula pensylvanica (western yellowjacket), 1884 nucleotides. RefSeq lists it as uncharacterized. The transcript is spliced from 3 exons. The record is from RefSeq and is a predicted model, not a curated record. NCBI's taxonomy places the organism in Eukaryota, Metazoa, Arthropoda, Insecta, Hymenoptera, Vespidae.